RNAcentral lists this ribosomal RNA (375 nucleotides) under uncultured organism. Its description in RNAcentral is "partial 16S ribosomal RNA". It matches the Rfam family "Bacterial small subunit ribosomal RNA", at positions 526 to 896 of the family's 1533-position model. The record is from RNAcentral.
GUUAGGUGGCAAGCGUUGUCCCGGAAUUAUUGGGCGUAAAAGCGCGCGCAGGGCGGUCCUUUAAGUCUGAUGUGAAAGCCCACGGCUCAACCGUGGAGGGUCAUUGGAAACUGGGGGACUUGAGUACAGAAGAGGAAAGCGGAAUUCCAAGUGUAGCGGUGAAAUGCGUAGAGAUUUGGAGGAACACCAGUGGCGAAGGCGGCUUUCUGGUCUGUAACUGACGCUGAGGCGCGAAAGCGUGGGGAGCAAACAGGAUUAGAUACCCUGGUAGUCCACGCCGUAAACGAUGAGUGCUAAGUGUUAGGGGGUUUCCGCCCCUUAGUGCUGCAGCUAACGCAUUAAGCACUCCGCCUGGGGAGUACGGCCGCAAGGCUG